GAGUCAUCCUCUAAUCCAGUCAAAGAAACAAGCAACACAAGGAAAAACAGAAGUUUCCACAUCGCAUGGGGCCAAUCAAUUUCGGAAGAGUACGAGUGGCUAUGGUAAAUAGUAGAUUUAUAUUAUAUUAGAAUUUAUAUUUGCAUAAAUUGAAGGAAGAAACCCAAGUAUGAUCUUGUUUUGCUGUGAGCAACAAAGGAAACAAACGAGGAACCAAAAAGGUUUGAGAUGUUCAUUGCUACCCGAACAAGUCGGAAGAGGAAAGAAGUGGAUGAGGAAACAUAAACUGCUGUUACUUCCAACACCGCCAAGCUGCUGGUGAAACAGAAGAGGAAGCAUUUGAGGCCUUAUUCGGGAAAGAACAACCAGGUCGGGUAAGUUUGUAUGGAAGAUCUGUGACAAAGACUGAUUUAAAAAAACAUGCUGAAAUUAAUGAAAUCAAGAAUCAGCACAAAGAGGAAGUGUCUAGUCUGAAGGAUAAACUUGGACACAUGGAGGCCCAACAGCAAAAACAAGAGGCCAAACAGCAAAAAGAAG
Non-coding RNA from Arachis ipaensis, 537 nucleotides. Lineage: Eukaryota; Viridiplantae; Streptophyta; Magnoliopsida; Fabales; Fabaceae. The record is from RefSeq and is a predicted model, not a curated record.